GAUGAACGCUGGCGGCGUGCCUAAUACAUGCAAGUCGAACGGGGAGUAGCAAUACUCUUAGUGGCGAACGGGUGAGUAACGCGUUGGUACCUGCCCCGAAGCGGGGGAUAACGGACCGAAAGGUCCGCUAAUACCCCAUGUGCUCGGUAACGAGUAAAGGUGAAAACCACUUUGGGAGGGGCCUGCGUCCCAUCAGCCAGUUGGUAAGGUAACGGCUUACCAAGGCGAUGACGGGUAGGGGACCUGAGAGGGUGGCCCCCCACAAUGGAACUGAAACACGGUCCAUACACCUACGGGUGGCAGCAGUAGGGAAUAUUGGUAAUGGGCGCAAGCCUGAACCAGCAACGCCGCGUGUGCGAUGACGGCCUUCGGGUUGUAAAGCACUUUUGACUGGGACGAGGAAGGACGGUACCGGUCGAAUCAGCCUCGGCUAACUACGUG
Molecule: ribosomal RNA, 441 nt
Filed under: uncultured bacterium
Lineage: Bacteria
Description: partial 16S ribosomal RNA
Rfam family: Bacterial small subunit ribosomal RNA
Source: RNAcentral